CCCUUAGAUGUUCUGGGCCGCACGCGCGCUACACUGAUGAAUUCAACGAGCUCCUAACCUAGGCCGAAGGGUCCGGGUAAUCUUUGAAAUUUCAUCGUGAUGGGGAUAGAUUAUUGCAAUUAUUAAUCUUCAACGAGGAAUUCCUAGUAAGCGCGAGUCAUCAGCUCGCGUUGAUUACGUCCCUGCCCUUUGUACACACCGCCCGUCGCCCCUACCGAUUGAAUGGUCCGGUGAAAUGUUCGGACCGCGACAAGGCGGACGGUUCGCUGUCAGCUUUGCUGCGGGAAGUUCAUUAAACCUUAUCAUUUAGAGGAAGGAGAAGUCGUAACA
RNAcentral lists this ribosomal RNA (330 nucleotides) under uncultured eukaryote. RNAcentral describes it as "partial 18S ribosomal RNA". It matches the Rfam family "Eukaryotic small subunit ribosomal RNA", at positions 1470 to 1796 of the family's 1831-position model. The record is from RNAcentral.